GCCGGGAUGGCGGAACGGCAGACGCAAGGGACUUAAAAUCCCUUGGGCCCUUUUGAGCCCGUGCCGGUUCAAGUCCGGCUCCCGGCA
RNAcentral lists this transfer RNA (87 nucleotides) under Candidatus Omnitrophota bacterium. RNAcentral describes it as "Candidatus Omnitrophica bacterium (groundwater metagenome) tRNA-Leu". It matches the Rfam family "tRNA". From Rfam's summary of the family: Transfer RNA (tRNA) molecules are approximately 80 nucleotides in length. Their secondary structure includes four short double-helical elements and three loops (D, anti-codon, and T loops). Further hydrogen bonds mediate the characteristic L-shaped molecular structure. tRNAs have two regions of fundamental functional importance: the anti-codon, which is responsible for specific mRNA codon recognition, and the 3' end, to which the tRNAs corresponding amino acid is attached (by aminoacyl-tRNA synthetases). tRNAs cope with the degeneracy of the genetic code in two manners: having more than one tRNA (with a specific anti-codon) for a particular amino acid; and 'wobble' base-pairing, i.e. permitting non-standard base-pairing at the 3rd anti-codon position. Lineage: Bacteria; Pseudomonadati; Candidatus Omnitrophota. The record is from RNAcentral.